GCAGGUGUAGCUCAGUGGUUUGAGCACCUGCCUCUCAUGUAUGAGGUCCUGGGUUCAAUCCCCAGUACCUCCU
Molecule: transfer RNA, 73 nt
Filed under: Dasypus novemcinctus (nine-banded armadillo)
Lineage: Eukaryota; Metazoa; Chordata; Mammalia; Cingulata; Dasypodidae
Description: tRNA-Glu (CTC) (tRNA-Glu-CTC-7-1)
Rfam family: tRNA
About the family: Transfer RNA (tRNA) molecules are approximately 80 nucleotides in length.
Source: RNAcentral